Long non-coding RNA from Apodemus sylvaticus (European woodmouse), 925 nucleotides. RefSeq lists it as uncharacterized. The record is from RefSeq and is a predicted model, not a curated record. The transcript is spliced from 5 exons. Lineage: Eukaryota; Metazoa; Chordata; Mammalia; Rodentia; Muridae.
CCAGCAGUCCUCUGGUCUCAGCUUGCCAAGUGUCCUAAUCAGGGGUGUGAGCCAUCAUACCCAGAAAGAGGGCCAUGUGGAGCCGCAGCACCUGCCACAUGGUGGGUGCUUCUGUGGAAGCUCUCAGGCUCCGUUGCUUCUGACUGUGAUGGUAGUCAUAUAGUGGGCUUAAACAAUGAGUAUCUUCUAAUGACAUGAGGAAGCUAACCCCUCUUUCCAGCAACGAAACCCCUCACUACUGUGUAGAACCAGACCACAUAGUCAAGGGCAAGCAAGUUUUAGACCUUUUGUGCCCAGGCAGCAGAAGUGAACUGUGUGCCACACUGGGCCUCACUUGAACAUAUGAGACCUCAAAGUCUGCCCUCAGUGAUAGACAUCCCCCAACAAGGCCACACCUAUGCCAUCAAGGCCACACAUCCUAAUAAUGCCACUCCCUAUGAAAAAAGCAUUCAAACACGUGUCCCCACAGACACAAACCACAUAUUACCUCAUGCCCACUUUGGAGUGAUAACACAGUUACCUGUGUCCUCUGUGUCCAGCUCCAAGUUCAAGAUUCCUAGCUACAACCUGUACCUGGAGUUCAAAGUAUUUCUCAUGACGUGACUACUGAUAGACUAUCCAGCAGCUACAAAACAAAGUGUUUCCCUCUGACUCUCUCUCACAGUGCUUUUCCCCACUAUUGGGCACUCUCUCUGGGUGAUAGAAAUCCACAGAGUUUGGCAAAAUGAGAUAAUCUUAAGAACAAGAGAUAAUUGUCUUGGUCUCUUUGGGUUGACCUCUGCAACGCUAAUGGGGGGAUUCGUGGGAAUGUGGCAUUUGCCUUACAGGCUAAGAGAUAAAAGCUACCCUCAGAUUGUGCUACUUAUUGGGGCUCAGCGGGAUGCUUUUGUAUUUUUCUAGUAAAUCACUGUCCCUUUCUACUCAA